Molecule: ribosomal RNA, 245 nt
Filed under: uncultured bacterium
Lineage: Bacteria
Description: partial 16S ribosomal RNA
Rfam family: Bacterial small subunit ribosomal RNA
Source: RNAcentral
UACGUAGGAGGCAAGCGUUAUCCGGAUUUACUGGGCGUAAAGAGGGUGUAGGCGGCGCAUCAAGUUGGAUGUGAAAUCUCCCGGCUAAACUGGGAGGGUGCGUUCAAAACUGAUGUGCUCGAGUGCAGCAGAGGAAAGCGGAAUUCCCGGUGUAGUGGCGAAAUGCGUAGAUAUCGGGAAGAACACCAGUGGCGAAGGCGGCUUUCCAGGCUGUAACUGACGCUGAGGCCCGAAGGCGUGGGGAG